GGGUAUAAUUCUAAUUAGAGAAAUUAUCCAAAUGAAAGAAUGAUGAAAUUAUGAGCUUAGGUGGUGAAAUGUUAAAGUUGAAAACUUGAAAUAUGGGCCAAAGUGUUAUUUGAAAGAAGUUUAGGGUUUUAGCUUGGAUUUCAAAAGAUGGAUUAAUUCUAGUUUUGGAUUUCAAAAGCCACUCAAUUAUGGCUUUGAGUCUUUGGAGUCCAUGGCUAAGAUUGUGACAAGUGGCAUAACACCAUUGGUUGAAGGAUUCUAUAAAUAGGCACCUUGAGUUGCUCUCAAACCAUUCCAAACAAAUUUGAAGAGUGAAGUACUCUAAGAGGAGGAGCUUACUCUAGAGAGAGAGAAGGAGGUUCGGCAAGAAGGUGGGAAGAAAGCGGACAAGAAGCGGCGGAGAACGAGCCUCGUCGGAGUUACGGGUCUUCGCCGGAAUUUGCCAAAAUCAGUCAGCAAAAAAGUGAGAAACUUAGGCCGUUUGCUGUAAAAUUAUAUCGUCGAAGAGAUAACUCAACAAGGUUCGACGAGCGGCUCUAAAGGAAAGGAGGUAGCUGAAGAAUAAGUUUAAUUUGCUGUCUAUAGCAUGUUUAGAAUAUUUUCAUUUAUAUGCAAACCUAUGUAUGUCUUGGAUAUGUUUAAGAGGUUCAGUUAUAUCUUGCGAGAGAUGAUGUCCAUGUAAUUCAUUUUGU
This is a long non-coding RNA of Diospyros lotus (date-plum), 692 nucleotides long. RefSeq lists it as uncharacterized. The record is from RefSeq and is a predicted model, not a curated record. The transcript has 3 exons. NCBI's taxonomy places the organism in Eukaryota, Viridiplantae, Streptophyta, Magnoliopsida, Ericales, Ebenaceae.